GAUGAACGCUGGCGGCGUGCCUAAUACAUGCAAGUCGAGCGAACGGACGAGAAGCUUGCUUCUCUGAUGGUAGCGGCGGACGGGUGAGUAACACGUGGAUAACCUACCUAUAAGACUGGGAGAACUUCGGGAAACCGGAGCUAAUACCGGAGAAUAUUUUGAACCGCAUGGUUCAAAAGUGAAAGACGGUCUUGCUGUCACUUAUAGAUGGAGCCGCGCUGCAUUAGCUAGUUGGUAAGGUAACGGCUAACCAAGGCAACGAUGCAUAGCUGACCUGAGAGGGUGAUCGGCCACACUGGAACUGAGACACGGUCCAGACUCCUACGGGAGGCAGCAGUAGGGAAUCUUCCGCAAUGGGCGCAAGCCUGACGGAGCAACGCCGCGUGAGUGAUGAAGGUCUUCGGAUCGUAAAACUCUGUUAUUAGGGAAGAACAUCUGUGUAAGUAACUGUGCACAUCUUGACGGUACCUAAUCAGAAAGCCACGGCUAACUACGUG
This 497-nucleotide ribosomal RNA is filed under the name uncultured bacterium. RNAcentral describes it as "partial 16S ribosomal RNA". It matches the Rfam family "Bacterial small subunit ribosomal RNA", at positions 28 to 507 of the family's 1533-position model. The record is from RNAcentral.